AGUGAACGCUGGCGGUAGGCCUAACACAUGCCAGUCGAACGGCAGCACAGUAAGAGCUUGCUCUUACGGGUGGCGAGUGGCGGACGGGUGAGGAAUACAUCGGAAUCUACUUUUUCGUGGGGGAUAACGUAGGGAAACUUACGCUAAUACCGCAUACGACCUACGGGUGAAAGCAGGGGAUCUUCGGACCUUGCGCGAUUGGAUGAGCCGAUGUCGGAUUAGCUAGUUGGCGGGGUAAAGGCCCACCAAGGCGACGAUCCGUAGCUGGUCGGAGAGGAUGAUCAGCCACACUGGAACGGAGACACGGUCCAGACUCCUACGGGAGGCAGCAGUGGGGAAUAUUGGACAGUGGGCGCAAGCCUGAUCCAGCCAUACCGCGUGGGUGAAGAAGGCCUUCGGGUUGUAAAGACCUUUUGUUGGGAAAGAAAAGCAGCAGGUUAAUACCCCGCUGUUCUGACGGUACCCAAAGAAUAAGCACCGGCUAACUUCGUG
RNAcentral lists this ribosomal RNA (492 nucleotides) under uncultured bacterium. RNAcentral describes it as "partial 16S ribosomal RNA". It matches the Rfam family "Bacterial small subunit ribosomal RNA", at positions 29 to 507 of the family's 1533-position model. The record is from RNAcentral.